RNAcentral lists this ribosomal RNA (468 nucleotides) under uncultured bacterium. RNAcentral's name for it is "partial 16S ribosomal RNA". It matches the Rfam family "Bacterial small subunit ribosomal RNA", at positions 28 to 507 of the family's 1533-position model. The record is from RNAcentral.
GACGAACGCUGGCGGCGUGCUUAACACAUGCAAGUCGAACGGAAAGGCCCUGCUUUUGUGGGGUGCUCGAGUGGCGAACGGGUGAGUAACACGUGAGUAACCUGCCCUUGACUUUGGGAUAACUUCAGGAAACUGGGGCUAAUACCGGAUAGGAGCUCCUGCUGCAUGGUGGGGGUUGGAAAGUUUCGGCGGUUGGGGAUGGACUCGCGGCUUAUCAGCUUGUUGGUGGGGUAGUGGCUUACCAAGGCUUUGACGGGUAGCCGGCCUGAGAGGGUGACCGGCCACAUUGGGACUGAGAGACGGCCCAGACUCCUACGGUAGGCAGCAGUGGGGAAUAUUGCACAGUGGGCGGAAGCCUGAUGCAGCAACGCCGCGUGCGGGAUGACGGCCUUCGGGUUGUAAACCGCUUUCGCCUGUGACGAAGCGUGAGUGACGGUAAUGGGUAAAGAAGCACCGGCUAACUACGUG